UGGGGAAUUUUGGACAAUGGGGGCAACCCUGAUCCAGCAAUGCCGCGUGUGUGAAGAAGGCCUUCGGGUUGUAAAGCACUUUUGUCCGGAAAGAAAUCCCUUGCCCUAAUACGGCGGGGGGAUGACGGUACCGGAAGAAUAAGCACCGGCUAACUACGUGCCAGCAGCCGCGGUAAUACGUAGGGUGCGAGCGUUAAUCGGAAUUACUGGGCGUAAAGCGUGCGCAGGCGGUUUUGUAAGACAGGCGUGAAAUCCCCGAGCUCAACUUGGGAAUGGCGCUUGUGACUGCAAGGCUAGAGUAUGUCAGAGGGGGGUAGAAUUCCACGUGUAGCAGUGAAAUGCGUAGAGAUGUGGAGGAAUACCGAUGGCGAAGGCAGCCCCCUGGGACGUCACUGACGCUCAUGCACGAAAGCGUGGGGAGCAAACAGGAUUAGAUACCCUGGUAGUCCACGCCCUAAACGAUGUCAACUAGCUGUUGGGGAUUCAUUUCUUCAGUAACGUAGCUAACGCGUGAAGUUGACCGCCUGGGGAGUACGGUCGCAAGAUUA
RNAcentral lists this ribosomal RNA (548 nucleotides) under uncultured bacterium. Its description in RNAcentral is "bacterial SSU rRNA". It matches the Rfam family "Bacterial small subunit ribosomal RNA", at positions 355 to 896 of the family's 1533-position model. The record is from RNAcentral.